UAACCUGCCCAAGAGAUCGGGAUAACACCUGGAAACAGAUGCUAAUACCGGAUAACAACAGAUGAUGCCUAUCAACUGUUUAAAAGAUGGUUCUGCUAUCACUCUUGGAUGGACCUGCGGCGCAUUAGCUAGUUGGUAGGGUAACGGCCUACCAAGGCGAUGAUGCAUAGCCGAGUUGAGAGACUGAUCGGCCACAUUGGGACUGAGACACGGCCCAAACUCCUACGGGAGGCAGCAGCC
RNAcentral lists this ribosomal RNA (240 nucleotides) under uncultured Lactobacillus sp. Its description in RNAcentral is "partial 16S ribosomal RNA". It matches the Rfam family "Bacterial small subunit ribosomal RNA", at positions 122 to 355 of the family's 1533-position model. The record is from RNAcentral. Lineage: Bacteria; Bacillati; Bacillota; Bacilli; Lactobacillales; Lactobacillaceae.